GCUACACGGGAACAGGCUGCUGCAGAUCCUGCUGCCUGCCAGCCAUACAGCAAGACAGACGGCCAGAAAGAUCAGUACCAUUUCUGAAGGUCGUCAUGUGUGUCAGAAAUAGCUAAUAAAAUUCAGGUGGCCAGCGAUGACAGACAAUAAAUUGUCAUGAUUUAUGAGCCUACAUGACUGGUGGUAAAAGAACCAGCUAACAAGUGAGAUGAAUAAGAACUUUCACCCGAAGAGACACCCAUGUUCACGUCUAUUGGGAGUUUGGCCUACCUCCCAAACAUUAGGUUCCUUGGAUUCCUCUCCAGAUUAAUCAUUCAAUGGUAAGUAUAAUGCAUUUAUUCAGACACCAACAAUAAUAGUGUAAAC
Molecule: long non-coding RNA, 366 nt
Organism: Pseudophryne corroboree (corroboree frog)
Lineage: Eukaryota; Metazoa; Chordata; Amphibia; Anura; Myobatrachidae
Exons: 4
Source: RefSeq, a predicted model, not a curated record